This 961-nucleotide ribosomal RNA is filed under the name human gut metagenome. Its description in RNAcentral is "bacterial LSU rRNA". It matches the Rfam family "Bacterial large subunit ribosomal RNA", at positions 1959 to 2925 of the family's 2925-position model. The record is from RNAcentral.
GCGAAAUUCCUUGUCGGGUAAGUUCCGACCCGCACGAAAGGCGUAACGAUCUGGGAACUGUCUCAACAAUAGACUCGGUGAAAUUGUAGUACCGGUAAAGAUGCCGGUUACCCGCAGCAGGACGGAAAGACCCCAUGGAGCUUUACUGUAGCUUGAUAUUGAAUUUCGGCGUUGCAUGUACAGGAUAGGUGGGAGACUAUGAGAUGAGUACGCCAGUAUUCAUGGAGUCACUGUUGGGAUACCACCCUUGUAACGUUGAGGUUCUAACGGUGUGCCGUAAACCGGCAUCCGGACAGUGUCAGGUGGGCAGUUUGACUGGGGCGGUCGCCUCCUAAAGAGUAACGGAGGCGCCCAAAGGUUCCCUCAGCGCGGACGGAAAUCGCGCGAAGAGUGUAAAGGCAGAAGGGAGCUUGACUGCGAGACCAACAAGUCGAGCAGGGACGAAAGUCGGGCUUAGUGAUCCGGUGGUUCCGAGUGGAAGGGCCAUCGCUCAACGGAUAAAAGCUACCCCGGGGAUAACAGGCUGAUACCCCCCAAGAGUUCACAUCGACGGGGGUGUUUGGCACCUCGAUGUCGGCUCGUCUCAUCCUGGGGCUGAAGUAGGUCCCAAGGGUUGGGCUGUUCGCCCAUUAAAGAGGUACGCGAGCUGGGUUCAGAACGUCGUGAGACAGUUCGGUCCCUAUCCGCUGUGGGCGUUGGAAAUUUGAGUGGAGCUGUCCUUAGUACGAGAGGACCGGGAUGGACAUACCUCUGGUGCACCGGUUGUACUGCCAAGUGCAUAGCCGGGUAGCUAAGUAUGGACGGGAUAAGCGCUGAAAGCAUCUAAGUGCGAAGCCCCCCACAAGAAGAGAUUUCCUCCGCAAGGUAAGACUCGUGGGAGACUACCACGUAGAUAGGCCUCAGGUGAAAGUGCAGUAAUGUAUGAAGCUGAGAGGUACUAAUCGGUCGAGAACUUGACCAG